AAAGUUAUAGGCCUUCUCUUCCCAGUUCUUCCAGAGUCAGGAAAAGCUGGGUUGAGAAGGUGAAAAAAAAAAAGU
This 75-nucleotide microRNA precursor is filed under the name Callithrix jacchus (white-tufted-ear marmoset). RNAcentral's name for it is "mir-320 microRNA precursor family". It matches the Rfam family "mir-320 microRNA precursor family". Lineage: Eukaryota; Metazoa; Chordata; Mammalia; Primates; Cebidae. The record is from Rfam by way of RNAcentral.